RNAcentral lists this small RNA (228 nucleotides) under Vigna angularis var. angularis. RNAcentral describes it as "Non-protein coding transcript". The record is from RNAcentral. Lineage: Eukaryota; Viridiplantae; Streptophyta; Magnoliopsida; Fabales; Fabaceae.
CUGAAGUGUUCUACAAAAUGCUUUAGUCUUAUCUUCCCAUCUGAAACAAAGUGUUUGCCCCACUGCACCCCAACUUCUCCCUUUUAUUUUUUCUGUCUCUCUCUGUCGGCAUCAUGAGACCAGAAAAUAACCCUUUGGAUCUCAACAACCUUCCCGAUGACUACUCCAGAGAUGGCAUACAACUCUUCCAAGACAGUUUCUCAUCGGAAGAAUACCAGAGAAACAAAG